AAGUCGUAACAAGGUUUCCGUAGGUGAACCUGCGGAAGGAUCAUUAACGAAUAUCUAUGGCGUUGGUUGUAGCUGGCUCCUAGGAGCAUUUGUGCACGCCCGUCAUUUAUAUCAUCUUUCCACCUGUGAACUAUGUGUAGGUCUGGAUACCUCUCGCUUUGGUGACAAGGCGGAUGCAAGGAUUGCUGCCAAGCUCUCUUUGAAUUUCCAGGUCUAUGUUUUUUACACACUCCAUUUGAAUGAUGUAGAAUGUAGUCAAUGGGCUUUCAAGCCUAUAAAAAACUAUACAACUUUCAGCAACGGAUCUCUUGGCUCUC
This 317-nucleotide unclassified non-coding RNA is filed under the name Psathyrella sulcatotuberculosa. RNAcentral describes it as "partial internal transcribed spacer region". The stretch from base 1 to 46 matches the Rfam family "Eukaryotic small subunit ribosomal RNA", at positions 1786 to 1831 of the family's 1831-position model. Lineage: Eukaryota; Fungi; Basidiomycota; Agaricomycetes; Agaricales; Psathyrellaceae. RNAcentral also lists the same sequence under 3 other names. The record is from RNAcentral.